Molecule: ribosomal RNA, 90 nt
Filed under: Triticum aestivum (bread wheat)
Lineage: Eukaryota; Viridiplantae; Streptophyta; Magnoliopsida; Poales; Poaceae
Description: partial small subunit ribosomal RNA
Source: RNAcentral
AUGGACUUCAAAUGUUGGUUCAAAUUCAAAAUUUGCCUCAAAUUUGAAUUCUACCACAAAUUUGACAUCAAAGUACAAAAUAGCAUUUAG